RNAcentral lists this long non-coding RNA (1075 nucleotides) under Struthio camelus australis. RNAcentral's name for it is "lncRNA (ENSSCUG00000017064.1)". Lineage: Eukaryota; Metazoa; Chordata; Aves; Struthioniformes; Struthionidae. The record is from RNAcentral.
GAGAUAAAGUUUAAGUUUGUUGUUACAAUUAGGCAUAGGUUUUUACCAUCUUUUCUUUUUUCUUUUACAGGAAAGGUUUUAAACGCAUUGCUUAUAAUCAUGCAUGGUAGGGUCAACUUCUGGAAACUUGAAAUACGGCAGUUAAGCUUCAGGUUUGGGACAGACUGUUUGCAAAUUCUUUGCCUCCCUCCAUCCCGCCAAGCAUAGGACAUGGGCUUCAUGAUCACUACUCUGGAUGGCUUGCUGUGUGUCAGACCAACAUGUAUGUGAGGGGAGUGGAUGAUCACCUUUCUGGUGGAAAGCAGAAGUUUCCAGGAUACAACCCAACCCAGGCCUUUUCGUGAGUUUACUACUGGUGGUAUAACAGAAACGUCAUGGAAGGCCUCUGAAACGAAGUGGGACUGCUGAGAGUAAGUAAAAAAAAAAAAAUGGUUUGAAUUCUAAAGCAGCCCAGCUGUGGGGAUGGUGGAGCAGGCCAGCAGCUAACAACCCUCCUCCCAGCUUGGGCACAGACCCAGGCUGGGUGCCCUGCAGGUGUUGUUGAUUAGUGGGAGGCCAGGUGAGACUCAUCAGGGAUAAAGAGGGCACAUAUGGACCCCAUUGGUGUAUAAAGCUGAGGAAGUAAAGUGGCUCCUUCCUGGUGGGGAGUUGGGGCUGGGAAGAGGAGAACAGGCUCUUCUCUGGAAGAAUGACAGCCUUCAGGUAAGGGAAACGUGCUUUUGAGCUGCUUUUUCACUGUUCCCUUUUCUGCUCUGUUUUAAUUCUAAAAGCCUAAAUAAUAGCUGGCUUCUGAGACUGUGUGAAAGCUGACCUGCUGCUGACACUGGGCCCCCGGGGGAUGUCUGCCAAUUCCUCACUGACCCUGGCCUGCGGGUGAAACUGGUUCGUCCAUGGGACCCUGGCUGCAGGAGCAAUAACCAUCUGCUUUCACUUUGGAGCAAAGAGAGGCUUUGGAAAGACUAGUGCUUCGUGUCACCAGAUGUUGGUUAGUACCAAACUGUGCUAGUUGUUGGCCUGUCAAGGAGAGUUCACUUCAAAGCAUACCUAGAGAAAGAAAAUGAAGUGUUAAAUCAGG